CAGCAAUCUGGGGGCUGUAACCCAGGGGCGGUAGCUAU
Molecule: non-coding RNA, 38 nt
Filed under: Aeromonas dhakensis
Lineage: Bacteria; Pseudomonadati; Pseudomonadota; Gammaproteobacteria; Aeromonadales; Aeromonadaceae
Also listed under: 1 other name
Description: JUMPstart
Rfam family: JUMPstart RNA
Source: RNAcentral